Non-coding RNA from Pangasius djambal, 75 nucleotides. Lineage: Eukaryota; Metazoa; Chordata; Actinopteri; Siluriformes; Pangasiidae. The record is from the annotation of a GenBank genome assembly.
CUAUACGUUGCCUAAUGGUUAGAGAGUCGGACUUGUAACCCGAAGGUUGUGGGUUCGAGUCUCAGGUCUGGCAGG